This 472-nucleotide ribosomal RNA is filed under the name uncultured bacterium. RNAcentral describes it as "bacterial SSU rRNA". It matches the Rfam family "Bacterial small subunit ribosomal RNA", at positions 8 to 526 of the family's 1533-position model. The record is from RNAcentral.
AGGGUUUGAUUAUGGCUCAGAACGUACGCUGGCGGCACGCUUAACACAUGCAAGUCGAACGCAGUAGCAAUACUGAGUGGCAGACGGGUGAGUAUAAUGUGGGAAUCUGCCUUUUGGUUCGGAAUAACUCGGGGAAACCUGAGCUAAUACCGGAUAAGCCCUUACGGGGAAAGAUUUAUCGCCAAAAGAUGAGCCCGCACUUGAUUAGCUUGUUGGUGAGGUAAAAGCUCACCAAGGCAACAAUCAAUAGCUGUUCUUAGAGGAAGACCAGCCACAUUGGGACUGAGACACGGCCCAGACUCCUACGGGAGGCAGCAGUGGGGAAUCUUGCACAAUGGGGGAAACCCUGAUGCAGCGAUGCCGCGUGAGUGAAGAAGGCCUUUGGGUUGUAAAACUCUUUCGUCGGGGAAGAAAAUGACUGUACCCGAAUAAGAAGGUCCGGCUAACUUCGUGCCAGCAGCCGCGGUAAUAC